UACGUAGGGUGCGAGCGUUGUCCGGAAUUAUUGGGCGUAAAGAGCUUGUAGGCGGUUUGUCGCGUCUGCUGUGAAAUCUCAAGGCUCAACCUUGAGCUUGCAGUGGGUACGGGCAGACUAGAGUGCGGUAGGGGAGACUGGAAUUCCUGGUGUAGCGGUGAAAUGCGCAGAUAUCAGGAGGAACACCGAUGGCGAAGGCAGGUCUCUGGGCCACUACUGACGCUGAGAAGCGAAAGCAUGGGGAGCGAACAGG
RNAcentral lists this ribosomal RNA (253 nucleotides) under uncultured bacterium. Its description in RNAcentral is "partial 16S ribosomal RNA". It matches the Rfam family "Bacterial small subunit ribosomal RNA", at positions 524 to 776 of the family's 1533-position model. The record is from RNAcentral.